RNAcentral lists this long non-coding RNA (1960 nucleotides) under Nicotiana tabacum (common tobacco). Its description in RNAcentral is "long non-coding RNA (NTAB_LNC006150)". The record is from RNAcentral. Lineage: Eukaryota; Viridiplantae; Streptophyta; Magnoliopsida; Solanales; Solanaceae.
CCCCCCCAAACUUCUAACAUCAGUCCAUUUCCCUUCUCAAACACUCUCGAAUGAGAAACCCUAGCCGCCCCUUUUACCCUCGCCAUCUCCGCCGUGGUCCGUCGACCGGAAAUUGCCUCACAGCGGUGGACCACCUCCAAACUCUACUAAAUUAACAGCAGAUAACCACCAUAACCUCCUCAUGCUAUAUCUAUCAUCGAUUUCUCCAAAAUCUUUACCCAUUUGCUCCAAUUUCAGAUCUAAAACUCUGAAAGAAAACCAAAACCCUAAACUGUCCUUUUCCCUUCGUUUUUUAUGGUUUCAAAGGCUCGAUUUGAGCCAAAGUUUAUGCUAAUCGAUUGUUCUUGACAAUAACAAUUGAUUAGCGUCAGUUUUAGUUUAUUUCAAGACCUGCUGGACUCUGACCAAGCACCUAGUGGCCAGCCAAAGCUCUGAGGCUUACACAGCUCAUGCACCCGCCUCAGUUACCUACUUAAUCUCCUAGUCGUUUGUUCUUCUUUCCCUUUUCUUUUCUGUUUCUACUCAUGUGUUAUUAUUUCUGCAAUACUGUUUUAGGUUUCAAGUCCAUCUUUAUUUUUCUUUUCUUUUUUUAGCUUUACUUGACUACUGCACUACAAUAGAAUUUUAGUUCAAAUUUAGUUGCAUAGUCUUCUAGUUAACAACAUUGUUAUUUAGUCGACCUCUCUUCUUUUAAUUUAGUUUGAACCAAUUUAAUUAAAAUAAUUUCUGUAUUUAGAUUAUUCAAAUGUAUGAUUAGUUAAUUCAGAUUACAAGUUUGUUUAAUUAGCCUUAAGGUUGUGACCACAUGAUGUCUUGGUUUGUUUAGAGGUCUAAUGUGUGUUUGCUACCUUAUUUUGUUAAAUUGGAAAUCAGAAGUCUGAAAUAGUAAUAACAAGAACCUAAAAGGGGGCCAAUUGGGAAAUGAGAUAAGGGUUUGAUAUCAGAAGCUUCUAGAAGGGACUAAUGAGUAAUCAAACAAGCUGAAUUUACGUUAGAAUUGGUGGGGAUUGAAAUAAUCCAGCAAAUGAGAGGGUAAAAUUGGGUUCUAUAUAGGUUAAAUAUCAGAAGGUUCUAGGACUUUGGACAGUUGUCCCCAUGUUUAACAAAAGAUGCUAAAAAGGUUCUAGGACUAUAUAGGUUAAAUAUCAGAAGGUUCCAUUUUUUAUACAUUUUUGUGCACUUUAUAAAAAGAAAAGCACUCACUCAUAUACGUGCUCAUCAGAUUUUCAGAAACCUAAAAAGCACUAAAACGUUCAGCUACUGUUCCAUUGAUAACUGAUCAAUUUCUUUUCUGAUUUCGACCUAAGUUAGAAUAAAUUUUUCUUUUGAAAUUUCUGGGUUCUUGAUUUGCAAGAUGGUAUGAGGUUGAAUGUUGUGAUACGGCUAGUUUUUGCUGCUAGUUUCAUUGGUUUCCUGCUUUGUUCUUACUGUUUUUUCCUUGAAGAUUCACAACCUUAUUCUUAUUCUUUGUAACCAGGUAUAUCUUGAGCCUUAAAUUAUGAAUGAAAGCUUGUUUUGAAGAGUGUAUUGCUUCCAUGGAGUUUUGGAGUUAUAUUUACAUUUUUUGUUUCUUUCUGAUGUUUACUUCCGAGUCAUUCGAAUACUGUUCUUUUUUUGCUUUCUUCUUAUUAGUUUCUGUUUAGUUACAUUAAAGUUUUUGUUGUGUAGAUUCAUGAAAUAGCCAGGAUGUUUAGUGUUGAAGGAUUUGAAUAGCACCUCUUGCAUAUGCUGAGUUUAGGUUAAGUAGUCUAAUUUAAAAUGUUAACUUUCAGUCUUUUCUACUUCCAUGUGAUUCUGUCCAGUAUUUUAAAUUUAUUGUUUGGUAAUAUAUGAGCUUUUCAUGCUUGAGUAUUUGGAUAAGUGCUAGGUAUACUCAAAAUAGCCCAUGAUUGAUGCUUGAGUACAUUUGGUUGAAGUGUUUUAGCACUACUACAGUGUGUAAAAUGAUUGUAUUUUCCUA